Molecule: unclassified non-coding RNA, 148 nt
Organism: Macaca fascicularis (crab-eating macaque)
Lineage: Eukaryota; Metazoa; Chordata; Mammalia; Primates; Cercopithecidae
Rfam family: Metazoan signal recognition particle RNA
About the family: The signal recognition particle (SRP) is a universally conserved ribonucleoprotein. It is involved in the co-translational targeting of proteins to membranes.
Source: Ensembl
GCUGGGUGUGGUGGUGUGCACCUGUAAUCCCAGCUACUCAGGAGGCUGAGGCAGGAGAAUCACUUGAACCCAGGAGGUGGAGGUUGCAGUGAGAUGAGAUCAUGCCACUGCACUCCAGCCUGGGCAACAGAGUGAGAUUCUGUCUCAA